RNAcentral lists this ribosomal RNA (520 nucleotides) under uncultured Scutellospora. RNAcentral describes it as "SSU rRNA". It matches the Rfam family "Eukaryotic small subunit ribosomal RNA", at positions 569 to 1093 of the family's 1831-position model. The record is from RNAcentral. Lineage: Eukaryota; Fungi; Glomeromycota; Glomeromycetes; Diversisporales; Gigasporaceae.
AGCAGCCGCGGUAAUUCCAGCUCCAAUAGCGUAUAUUAAAGUUGUUGCAGUUAAAAAGCUCGUAGUUGAAUUUCGGGGUUCUACCGUUGGUCGGGCUUUGUCUGUACUGAUGUGUAGAAUUUCUACCUUCUGGGGAACCAUCAUGUUAUUAAUUUAGCGUGGUGGGAAACCAGGACCUUUACCCUGAAAAAUUAGAGUGUUCAAAGCAGGCUUAUGUCUGAAUACAUUAGCAUGGAAUAAUAGAAUAGGACGGUGGUCCUGUUUUGUUGGUUUCUGAAUCACCGUAAUGAUUAAUAGGGAUAGUUGGGGGCAUUAGUAUUCAAUUGUCAGAGGUGAAAUUCUUGGAUUUAUUGAAGACUAACUUCUGCGAAAGCAAUUUGCCAAGGAUGUUUUCAUUAAUCAAAGAACGAAAGUUAGGGGAUCGAAGACGAUCAGAUACCGUCGUAGUCUUAACCAUAAACUAUGCCGACUAGGGAUCGGAUGAUGUUAAUUUUUUAAUGACUCAUUCGGCGCCUUACGG